RNAcentral lists this ribosomal RNA (397 nucleotides) under uncultured bacterium. Its description in RNAcentral is "bacterial SSU rRNA". It matches the Rfam family "Bacterial small subunit ribosomal RNA", at positions 358 to 772 of the family's 1533-position model. The record is from RNAcentral.
GGAAUCUUGGACAAUGGGGGAAACCCUGAUCCAGCCAUGCCGCGUGAGUGAUGAAGGCCUUCGGGUUGUAAAACUCUUUCGACGGGGACGAUAAUGACGGUACCCGUAGAAGAAGCUCCGGCUAACUUCGUGCCAGCAGCCGCGGUAAUACGAAGGGGGCUAGCGUUGUUCGGAAUUACUGGGCGUAAAGCGCGCGCAGGCGGUCUUCCAAGUCAGUGGUGAAAGCCUGGAGCUCAACUCCAGAACUGCCAUUGAAACUGUUAGACUUGAGUACGAGAGAGGUGAGUGGAAUUCCCAGUGUAGAGGUGAAAUUCGUAGAUAUUGGGAAGAACACCGGUGGCGAAGGCGGCUCACUGGCUCGUAACUGACGCUCAGGCGCGACAGCGUGGGGAUCAAA